Long non-coding RNA from Cercocebus atys (sooty mangabey), 1013 nucleotides. RefSeq lists it as uncharacterized. NCBI's taxonomy places the organism in Eukaryota, Metazoa, Chordata, Mammalia, Primates, Cercopithecidae. The transcript has 3 exons. The record is from RefSeq and is a predicted model, not a curated record.
AGGACAGGCAGCAUUCUCAGACCCGAAGGACUUUGAAUUAAAAACGAGACGUAUCUCUUCCAAAGUGCCUGAAAUGAUCCAACAGACCACAAUAGACACAAUCACUCACUCCAGGUGAAGCCAGUCUCCAUGUGAUGAGGCAGGUCUGGGAAGAGACCCAUGUGGCAGGAACAGAGGCCUGUGGCCUGCCCAGAUCCACCCGAGUGACUUUGAAACUGAAUCCUCUUAAGUUGUGUCCUCAAGCGAAAUUUCGGCACUGACAACUGCAACUGCCUAACUGACCUUGAGCCAGAGGCACCCAGCCAAGCUGCUCCCAAGGUUUCAGACCCACAGAAAUAGUGUUUGUAUUUUUACACCAUUACAUUUUGGGGUAAUUUGCUACACAGCAACAGAUAACUACUACACAAUCAAAAUGGAAUGAUCAUCUAUGGGUCUGCAUGAGUUUGUCUCUCUCUACUGAGUGGGGCAGAUGGCCAUAGUAUCCAGGAAAAUACUCUUCCUUGGAUAAAAUAGGCAUCUCAAGGCUUUUUCACACUGGGUCAUAAAUGUACAUUUAGUGGACCAUUUCCAUUACUAAAAUGUAAGAUCCACAAGAAAACUUGCAUACUUGUAAUAAUUAGUAUACUGUGAGCCCGUGCCCAGCAUAUAGUUAAGCAUUGUACCUUCACCGACUUCCUUUAUCUUUCUAACAAUUCUAUGAUAAAAGUAUUAUUAUAAUCGUCAUUUUUGUAGAUGUGAAACUGAGGCGGAGAAGAAUUAAGUUGCCCAAAGUGGUGUUACAUGUAAAUGGAGGAGGCAGGAUUUGAACCCAGGCAGUUUGGCUUCAGAGUUCUUAGUAAAUAUUUGGGUUGGAGUAAAUGAGGGAGUAAAACUGUUGGAUGACUUCUGAUUAUUGCCUUGGGGAAUGGGUACCUCUCUGUCCUUCAUUUCUUUAUUGGUGUUUUUAUAACCCCUUGCAUGGUAUUUGUUGUCGACAUCUAAAAUAUAUUCCAAAAGCAACCUGUUCUUUUUUU